This 45-nucleotide non-coding RNA is filed under the name Schistosoma mansoni. Lineage: Eukaryota; Metazoa; Platyhelminthes; Trematoda; Strigeidida; Schistosomatidae. The record is from RNAcentral.
GUCUAGCUAAAGAGUCCCAAAUGGGACGAAACGUGCGUACUGGAU